This is a non-coding RNA of Oryza nivara, 206 nucleotides long. The record is from Rfam. NCBI's taxonomy places the organism in Eukaryota, Viridiplantae, Streptophyta, Magnoliopsida, Poales, Poaceae.
AAAAAGUUAAAUCAUAGGUUUCCGUAUUCAAUUUUAACUGUCCGUCUUAUAUAAAUUUUUUUUAUAAUUCGUAUUUUUAUUGUUGUUAGAUGAUAAAACAUGAUUAAUAUUUUAUGCGUGACUUGUUUUUUUAAUUUUUUUUCAUAAUUUUUCAAAUAAGACGAACGGUCAAACGUUAGACACGGAAACCUAUGUUUGUCUUUUUU